GCUGAACUCGCUUUGUGAAACCGAAAACCCAGAGUUUUCGUUAACUCAGGGUAUACUUACUCAGUUUUUCCACUAAACCGGCUUCCUGAAACAGGGCCCAGGUGUACGGCCCAGGGCUUCGGAGACAAGCAGCCGAAACUGAAACUAAAAACUAAUGGUGAGUUCAGCAGGAAUUCGGGAUUUCAGAGUCCCCAGUGAGAAUUUGAAUCUGAAACUUCCUCAUAAACUCGGAUUUCCUAUUAGGAAAGUAAGAGCAGCCACACCAAGACCUACUUAACAAUCCAAGACGGCAGCAGUGAAUAAUGUAGUCCGUAAAUCCGAGGUGUAUUGAACGCAGCAGCUAUCAGUACUUACAGCUGGAGGAAGGCGGGGCGUUUCCCUCACAUACAAAACACAAAGUUACAGGAGCC
Astatotilapia calliptera (eastern happy) is the source of this 410-nucleotide long non-coding RNA. The record is from Ensembl. NCBI's taxonomy places the organism in Eukaryota, Metazoa, Chordata, Actinopteri, Cichliformes, Cichlidae.